AGAUUGAACGCUGGCGGCAUGCUUUACACAUGCAAGUCGAACGGUAACAGGCCGCAAGGUGCUGACGAGUGGCGAACGGGUGAGUAAUGCAUCGGAACGUGCCCAGUCGUGGGGGAUAACGCAGCGAAAGCUGUGCUAAUACCGCAUACGAUCUAUGGAUGAAAGCGGGGGACCGAAAGGCCUCGCGCGAUUGGAGCGGCCGAUGUCAGAUUAGCUAGUUGGUGGGUAAAGGCCACCAAGGCGACGAUCUGUAGCUGGUCUGAGAGGACGACCAGCCACACUGGAACUGAGACACGGUCCAGACUCCUACGGGAGGCAGCAGUGGGGAAUUUUGGACAAUGGGCGCAAGCCUGAUCCAGCAAUGCCGCGUGCAGAAGAGGCCUUCGGUGUAAACUGCUUUUGUACGGAACGAAACGUCGUUAGGUUAAUACCGUACGGCUAAUGAACGGUACCGUAAGAAUAAGCACCGGCUAACUACGUGCCAGCAGCCGUA
This 493-nucleotide ribosomal RNA is filed under the name uncultured soil bacterium. RNAcentral's name for it is "bacterial SSU rRNA". It matches the Rfam family "Bacterial small subunit ribosomal RNA", at positions 26 to 519 of the family's 1533-position model. The record is from RNAcentral.